CCUACUGGAGGCAUCAUUGGGGCAUCUUGCACAAUGGGGGAAACCCUGAUGCAGCGACGCCGCGUUACUUCCUCCUUCUUUCUUUCUUUCCCCUUCUCUCCGCGGUUCCGCCCCUGCCGGUCCCUGCCUACGAAGCCCCGGCUACCUACGUGCCAGCAGCCGCGGUAAGACGUAGGGGGCCCGCGUUCUCCGGCUUUCCUGGGUGUAACGGGCGCGUAGGCGGCGAUGCAAGUCAGAAGUGAAAGCCCUGGGCUCACCUCCGGGACUGCUUUUGACCCUGUAUGGCUCGAUUGCAGGAGAGGCAAGUGGAAUUCCUAGUGUAGCGGUGAAAUGCGUAGAUAUUAGGAGGAACACCAGUGGCGAAGGCGGCUUGCUGGACUGUAAAUGACGCUGAGGCUCGAAAGCGUGGGGAGCAAACAGGAUUAGAGACCCUGGUAGUC
Molecule: ribosomal RNA, 440 nt
Filed under: uncultured bacterium
Lineage: Bacteria
Description: partial 16S ribosomal RNA
Rfam family: Bacterial small subunit ribosomal RNA
Source: RNAcentral